Molecule: ribosomal RNA, 119 nt
Organism: Cricetulus griseus (Chinese hamster)
Lineage: Eukaryota; Metazoa; Chordata; Mammalia; Rodentia; Cricetidae
Source: Ensembl
GUAUAUUGCCAUAACUCCCUGAACCUGCCUCAUCUUAUCUGUUCUUAGAUGCAAAGCAGGGUUGGGUCUGUUUUGUACUUCGAUUGUAGACCACCUGGGCAUAUUGGGUGUUUAAGGCU